AGUCACAUUAUGGCUCAAAAAGGUCUUUCUUCUUUGGUUGUAAUGGGGCUAAGGACUAUCAAUGAUGUAGGCAAGAUCCUAGGGGUCCUAAGCUCAAACAUUGAAGAUCAAAUAUCGUGCAUGCUCGAAUCAAAUCACACCCAAAGAAUUCUAAACAUAUGAAGAGCAACUUCCAACUCAACUAUGGGCAACAACCAUCAAACAACUCAAUGCAUGUAUACUAAUUCAACCUUGGUGCAACCUUUAUUUUCUCUCUCUUUUUUUUUUUUUCUUUUUUUUUCUUUUUUUUUUCUUUCUUUUCUUUUUCUUUUUUUUCUUUUUUUUUUUUUCUGCACCACUUCAUUAAAACAACACAAUCAUGCAAAGAGUACAUCAAAAACAAUCUGCCCAACUGUCAAAAUCCUCCUCUGUUCGGCCAAACAGACCAUCCGUCCUAGAUUAGAAUGUAAUUUCGGCUCGGUUCUGUUUGGGCAAACAAGUAUCCUUAUGCACAUUCCUCAAAAAUUCACUUAAGAUGUAAUUCAAUUCUAACAUGCACAAUGG
Molecule: long non-coding RNA, 543 nt
Filed under: Salvia miltiorrhiza (redroot sage)
Lineage: Eukaryota; Viridiplantae; Streptophyta; Magnoliopsida; Lamiales; Lamiaceae
Description: long non-coding RNA (SMIL_LNC011670)
Source: RNAcentral